This 468-nucleotide ribosomal RNA is filed under the name uncultured bacterium. Its description in RNAcentral is "partial 16S ribosomal RNA". It matches the Rfam family "Bacterial small subunit ribosomal RNA", at positions 28 to 507 of the family's 1533-position model. The record is from RNAcentral.
GACGAACGCUGGCGGCGUGCUUAACACAUGCAAGUCGAACGGAAAGGCCCUGCUUUUGUGGGGUGCUCGAGUGGCGAACGGGUGAGUAACACGUGAGUAACCUGCCCUUGACUUUGGGAUAACUUCAGGAAACUGGGGCUAAUACCGGAUAGGAGCUCCUGCUGCAUGGUGGGGGUUGGAAAGUUUCGGCGGUUGGGGAUGGACUCGCGGCUUAUCAGCUUGUUGGUGGGGUAGUGGCUUACCAAGGCUUUGACGGGUAGCCGGCCUGAGAGGGUGACCGGCCACAUGGGUACUGAGAUACGGCCCAGACUCCUACGGGAGGCAGCAGUGGGAAGUAUUGCGCAAUGGGCGGAAGCCUGAUGCAGCAACGCCGCGUGCGGGAUGACGGCCUUCGAGUUGUGAACCGCUUUCGCCGGUGACGAAGCGUGAGUGACGGUAAUGGGUAAGGAAGCACCGGCUAACUACGUG